This 240-nucleotide unclassified non-coding RNA is filed under the name soil metagenome. RNAcentral describes it as "partial contains 5.8S ribosomal RNA, internal transcribed spacer 2, and large subunit ribosomal RNA". The record is from RNAcentral.
AACCAUAGAAACCUGCGGAGUACCUGCGGAAGGAUCAUUACAAAAGUUAUACACUUGGGGAAAGGACUCGUCUUUCGGGACUUGAGGCCUGACUCCAUUUGUAACACAACUUUCAACCACUUGUGAACAUGUAAUAAUUAUCUCACCAAUUGACUGUUAACGAAGUCUGAUUCAAAUUGUAUUGGUGUUAAUAGACACUAGUAAAAUAUGAAACAACUUUCAACAAUGGAUCUCAGAUCG